AUGCGUCUUCUUGCUCCAACAUUCAAGUUCCAUUUCAAGGAAGAACGACGUACCAUGAUACUUUCUGUUUUGUCGAGCCCUGCUUUGGUCUCUGGUUUGAUGGUUGUAGGUGCUAAAAAUCUGGUACAUUCCGUUUUGUUUCCCAUCCUAGUCUUUUGCGACACUUCUAGUUUACUUAUUUUGUUAGGUCUCGACUUCUCCGCUAUGAUCUCCCCAGUAGUUCAUAUAGGAGCUAUUGCCGUUUCAUUCCUAUUCGUGGUUAUGAUGUUCAAUAUUCAAAUAGCGGAGAUUCAAGAAGAAGUAUUGCGCUAUUUACCAGUGAGUGGUAUUAUUGGACUGAUCUUUUGGUGGGAAAUGUUCUUCAUUUUAGAUAAUGAAACCAUUCCAUUACUACCAACCCAUAGAAAUACGACCUCUCUGAGAUAUACGGUUUAUGCCGGAAAGGUACGAAGUUGGACUAAUUUGGAAACAUUGGGCAAUUUACUUUAUACCUACUAUUCCGUCUGGUUUUUGGUUUCUAGUCUGAUUUUAUUAGUUGCUAUGAUUGGGGCUAUAGUACUUACUAUGCAUAGGACUACAAAGGUGAAAAGACAAGAUGUAUUCCGAUGA
RNAcentral lists this ribosomal RNA (609 nucleotides) under Triticum aestivum (bread wheat). RNAcentral's name for it is "partial small subunit ribosomal RNA". Lineage: Eukaryota; Viridiplantae; Streptophyta; Magnoliopsida; Poales; Poaceae. The record is from RNAcentral.